Molecule: ribosomal RNA, 405 nt
Filed under: uncultured bacterium
Lineage: Bacteria
Description: partial 16S ribosomal RNA
Rfam family: Bacterial small subunit ribosomal RNA
Source: RNAcentral
GACGAACGCUGGCGGCGUGCUUAACACAUGCAAGUCGAGCGGAGCGGCGAACGGGUGAGUAACGCGUGAGUAACUGCCCCCCUCUCUGGGAUAACAGUUGGAAACGGCUGCUAAUACCGGAUAGUGGGGGAUGACUCGCGUCCUAUCAGGUGGUUGGUGGGGUAGUGGCCUACCAAGGCCACGACGGGGAGCCGGCCUGAGAGGGCGACCGGCCACAUUGGUCGGAGAAACGGCCCAGACUGCUACGGGAGGCAGCAGUGGGGGAGAGUGCACAAUGGGCGAAAGCCUGAUGCAGCGACGCCGCGUGGGGGAUGAAGGCUUUCGGGUUGUAAACCUCUUUCGCUAUCGAAAGUGUAGGUGGAGAAGAAGCGCCGGCUAACUACGUGCCAGCAGCCGCGGUAAUAC